ACUCCACGUGGAGAAGGUUGGUAGGAUACCUUGGCACUCCACAUGGAGAAGGUUGGUAGGACACCUUGGCACUCCACAUGGAGAAGGUUGGUAGGACACCUUGGCACUCCACAUGGAGAAGGUUGGUAGGAUAACUUGGCACUCCAAAUGGAACAGGUUGGUAGGAUAACUUGGCACUCCACAUGGAGAAGGUUGGUAGGAUAACUUGGCACUCCACAUGGAGAAGGUUGGUAGGAUAACUUGGCACUCCAAAUGGAACAGGUUGGUAGGAUAACUUGGCACUCCACGUGGAGAAGGUUGCCUACCGCUGGUUCAGCGACUUCAGAAGCAUAAUGUAUGAAUCCGAGAAGACCUGCAGCGGGAGGGAACAGGUUUUCUCCCUUCUGGUUAGGCUAUGAUGAUUUCUAGCUCCCUCUAGUCAUUUUUGCGGUCUUCAUUUUAAAUUUUUAUCUCCGUGCUUAAAGCAUCAGACAAGCUCAGUAGUCUACGUACGUACAGUGUUGACGUUGUAUAAUCAAUGUGAUGGAGUGUAUUCAACCAACAGAGCAUCAGAGUAGGAGUGCUGUCCAUAGAGUCAUAUUCUUUAUAAUUUUAAAGGUCAAUCUGAUCCCAGAUCAGCACUCUUAUCCUGAGAGGCUUUAUAAGUACAGGCCCAGAGGUACAGAGGUGAAAUAUACCAAAGACCACCGCUAAACCAAUUUGUUUUUGAGUGUGUCCAUAAAGGCUGUACCACCACAAGCAUGGCUACCAGCAUGGCUACCAGCAUGGCUACAAACACGGCUACCAGCAUGGCUACCAGCAUGGCUACCAGCAUGGCUACCAGCAUGGCUACCAGCAUGGCUACAAGCAUGGCUACCAGCAUGGCUACCAGCAU
This is a long non-coding RNA of Oncorhynchus keta (chum salmon), 874 nucleotides long. RefSeq lists it as uncharacterized. The record is from RefSeq and is a predicted model, not a curated record. The transcript is spliced from 3 exons. Lineage: Eukaryota; Metazoa; Chordata; Actinopteri; Salmoniformes; Salmonidae.